GGGAAUAUUGCGCAAUGGGCGAAAGCCUGACGCAGCCAUGCCGCGUGUGUGAAGAAGGCCUUCGGGUUGUAAAGCACUUUCAAUAGGGAGGAAAGGUUGUAGCUUAAUACGCUGCAACUGUGACGUUACCUAUAGAAGAAGCACCGGCUAACUCCGUGCCAGCAGCCGCGGUAAUACGGAGGGUGCGAGCGUUAAUCGGAAUUACUGGGCGUAAAGCGCGCGUAGGCGGCUUCGUCAGUCAGAUGUGAAAGCCCCGGGCUCAACCUGGGAAUUGCAUUUGAAACUGGGGAACUAGAGUGUGUGAGAGGGGGGUAGAAUUCCAAGUGUAGCGGUGAAAUGCGUAGAG
Molecule: ribosomal RNA, 346 nt
Filed under: Chaetoceros affinis
Lineage: Eukaryota; Bacillariophyta; Thalassiosirophyceae; Chaetocerotales; Chaetocerotaceae
Description: partial Bacterial small subunit ribosomal RNA
Rfam family: Bacterial small subunit ribosomal RNA
Source: RNAcentral